GACGAACGCUGGCGGCGUGCUUAACACAUGCAAGUCGAACGGAGUUCCUUGGAUAGAGGCUUCGGCCAAUUGAAUUGGAACUUAGUGGCGGACUGGUGAGUAACGCGUGAGGAACCUGCCUUUCAGAGGGGGACGAACAGUUGGAAACGACUGCUAAUACCGCAUAACACAUGAUCGGGGCGAUCCCGGACAUGUCAAAGAUUUAUCGCUGAAAGAUGGCCUCGCGUCUGAUUAGCUAGUUGGUGGGGUAACGGCCUACCAAGGCGACGAUCAGUAGCCGGCCUGAGAGGGUGAACGGCCACAUUGGGACUGAGACACGGCCCAAACUCCUACGGGAGGCAGCAGUGGGGAAUAUUGCACAAUGGGGGAAACCCGUGAUGCAGCGACGCCGCGUGAGCGAUGAAGGUCUUCGGAUUGUAAACUUUAGUCGUCGGGGACGAGAACGGACGGUACCCGAGGUGAAGCCACGUCUAACUACGUG
RNAcentral lists this ribosomal RNA (481 nucleotides) under uncultured bacterium. RNAcentral describes it as "bacterial SSU rRNA". It matches the Rfam family "Bacterial small subunit ribosomal RNA", at positions 28 to 507 of the family's 1533-position model. The record is from RNAcentral.